This 253-nucleotide ribosomal RNA is filed under the name uncultured bacterium. RNAcentral's name for it is "partial 16S ribosomal RNA". It matches the Rfam family "Bacterial small subunit ribosomal RNA", at positions 524 to 776 of the family's 1533-position model. The record is from RNAcentral.
UACGUAGGGCGCAAGCGUUGUCCGGAAUCAUUGGGCGUAAAGAGCUCGUAGGCGGCCUGUUGCGUCCGCUGUGAAAUCCCGGGGCUUAACCCCGGGCGUGCAGUGGAUACGGGCUGGCUGGAGGCAGGCAGGGGAGAACGGAAUUCCCGGUGUAGCGGUGAAAUGCGCAGAUAUCGGGAGGAACACCGGUGGCGAAGGCGGUUCUCUGGGACGGUACUGACGCUGAGACGCGAAAGCGUGGGGAGCGAACAGG